AAGUCCCCACUCCACCCCUCCCAGAAGUCCAGCCAGCUUCACCUCCCAUUGGCAUUUGCCCCUGGACUUUGCACCUAGCCAGGGCAGUCCCACCGCCAGGGGCUUGGCAAGUCCGUGCCCACCAGGAACCCUCGCCGGCCCAGGAGCGCCCGUGCCUCCCUGUCCACACCUCACAGCCAGCAGAGGGAGCUGGUUCCGGCCUCGGCCGGCCCCAGAGAGGGGCCCCACAGCGCUGUGGCGGGCAGAAGAGCUAUUUGAGCAGGGCCAGAGAGGACGCUGAGGCCAAGGAGGCACUGAGAGGGAGCCAGGGCUGCUAACACAUUGUCACCUCUCACUGGGAUUACAGUGAAGUUCUGCAACAACAGAAAAUGUGUGACAAAAAUGCCAGAAUUAUUAUAGUCUCCCUUUAGUUCCUGAAUAUCAUUAAGAAAAGAAAAUUAAUCUGCUACUCUUAGAAGAGUUCCAGGGCUAUGAAUAACUAUUCUAUGAAAAAAUAAUAUCACAGUGAAUUUACUUCAUUUCCCUAAAACAUCUAAGUAUAUAGUAAAAAGAGAGAGUAUUCCCUCCAGACAAAGGCUUUCAAGCAACCACAGGAGAAAAUGCCCUGUGUAGGGAUAAUGAAUAUUAAUCUAAAAUAAUUUUUUCUAAUAUAUGGUUUAAUUCCAUCGC
Molecule: long non-coding RNA, 669 nt
Organism: Homo sapiens (human)
Lineage: Eukaryota; Metazoa; Chordata; Mammalia; Primates; Hominidae
Product: long independently transcribed non-coding RNA 1075
Exons: 4
Source: RefSeq, marked validated